Molecule: ribosomal RNA, 573 nt
Filed under: Pleurotus pulmonarius
Lineage: Eukaryota; Fungi; Basidiomycota; Agaricomycetes; Agaricales; Pleurotaceae
Description: eukaryotic LSU rRNA
Rfam family: Eukaryotic large subunit ribosomal RNA
Source: RNAcentral
UAGUACUGCGAGUGAGCGGGAAAAGCUCAAAUUUAAAAUCUGGUGGUCUUUGGCCAUCCGAGUUGUAAUCUAGAGAAGUGUUAUCCGCGCUGGACCGUGUACAAGUCCCCUGGAAUGGGGCGUCAUAGAGGGUGAGAAUCCCGUCUUUGACACGGACUAACAGGGCUUUGUGAUGCACUCUCAAAGAGUCGAGUUGUUUGGGAAUGCAGCUCAAAAUGGGUGGUAAAUUCCAUCUAAAGCUAAAUAUUGGCGAGAGACCGAUAGCGAACAAGUACCGUGAGGGAAAGAUGAAAAGAACUUUGGAAAGAGAGUUAAACAGUACGUGAAAUUGUUGAAAGGGAAACGCUUGAAGUCAGUCGCGUCUGCCAGGGAUCAACCUUACUUUUGUGAGGCGUACUUCCUGGUUGAUGGGUCAGCAUCAGUUUUGGUCGCUGGAUAAAGGUCAGAGAAAUGUGGCACCUUCGGGUGUGUUAUAGUCUUUGAUCAGAUACAGUGGCUGGGACUGAGGAACUCAGCGCCGCAAGGCUGUCUUAGGAUGCUGGCAAAAUGGCUUUAAACGACCCGUCUUGAACA